This is a long non-coding RNA of Esox lucius (northern pike), 570 nucleotides long. RefSeq lists it as uncharacterized. The transcript has 4 exons. The record is from RefSeq and is a predicted model, not a curated record. NCBI's taxonomy places the organism in Eukaryota, Metazoa, Chordata, Actinopteri, Esociformes, Esocidae.
GGGGAGCCAUGCCCUGAGGGAGGGGAGCCAUGCACGAGCAGCUUCGGGUGACAGCGGCUCGCUUCAAGAGCAGGUGAAGCAAUUUGGGACAAUGCUGAAGAUGUUUGCUCGCACUGGGCAAUCAGGUGCAGAUCAGACCCUAGUGCUGCGACGUCUUGGAGAGUUUGGCGAUGUUGUGCGUAGCAUGGAAAACAAAAUGGACACUAUGCUGCAACAUUUCAGUGCCAAUGUGUCUGUUGGAGAGCUAUCCCUGCCAGGGGAUGUUACUCCCCCUAGACACCCAGGAAGAUUUGGUGUUUCUUGACAGCAUUUUGAGGGAGGAUAAAGAGCUCCAGGAACGAUUUCUUCGGUUUUUGGCUAUCAAAUGUGGGAGGGACCUGAAGACAACAGUGUGGAGAAUGCUUCAGAGUAUUUUCUCUAAUAACCUUGCCGUUAAUACAACCUGGACUGGUAUAGGGGUUAAAACCUGUUUUAGAGACCUGUUCCUGAAGACCAUUGUUCAAAGUAAUUUUUUUAAGUAGAUGCCCUUAUGCCUUAUGCCAUUCAAAUGUAAUGACAGAUCUGUAUUUU